RNAcentral lists this small RNA (832 nucleotides) under Histoplasma capsulatum var. duboisii H88. Its description in RNAcentral is "Histoplasma capsulatum H88 hypothetical RNA". Lineage: Eukaryota; Fungi; Ascomycota; Eurotiomycetes; Onygenales; Ajellomycetaceae. The record is from RNAcentral.
GGCCCGACUGAAUGUGCGCAUCUGCCGAUAUCAGGGGCUUGGACGCGACUUCGCGUGCCUCGAUAUAUGUGGGUUUCGGAUCUUUCCAUGAAGACAGAUAUGGCUGAUCAACCCCUUUCCUCAUCAACUUCUUCAGAAAGAAUGGAGAAUGGUGACUGGUUGGUGAGAUGAGUGCUCACUGGGACAUCUAUUCUUUCUACGGGGCCUGAUGCAAAUUGGUACUUGGUUCCAUUUAAUAGGCAUUGCCCACUUGAUUGUUUGCAGGUGGAAUGCCGGAAACAGAACAUUUUGAGAAUGCAGAUGACAAAGAAAUAUCUCCAACACUGUGUCAUGGCACAAUGAAGGUUUUGCCCUUCAAUCUGACAUUUGAGAGUUGGGUGGAGAAAACGAGUCUCACACAAUGGGUGCGUUGAUGGGUUUGCUGUCUUGAAAAUAUCCUUUCAAAUAGGAUUUUCCUGAGCUACCCUAUGAGUAUUUUAUUUCCGGUUAGAUGUAGCAGAGCAUCAGUCCAAUGCAUAUCACGCUGACAUUUUAUCUUACAUUUCUUUUUGAAAGUGGUGCUAUCCCUGAAUUCAUUCCUUUUCCGUCCGGCUUUCAUAAUGACCUUGCUAAGAACUAAAGCUCCAAGGUGUGAAAAUUGAAUAAAUAGGAAGAAAGUGGUAGCCUAGUAGCUUGUGAGCAUUCUUCAUCCUACAAAGAAAAGCUGAUAAUAGAAGGUGUUUACUACGAACCUCCAUCAGCGGUGCAUGUAUAUCUCAAUUCUGAACAGAAGCAAGACUGCCUUCUAAAUUCUUUUCUUAAGAAAAUGGUUUUGGAUUCUAUUUGUGUCCUA